Pan troglodytes (chimpanzee) is the source of this 624-nucleotide long non-coding RNA. RefSeq lists it as uncharacterized. The record is from RefSeq and is a predicted model, not a curated record. Lineage: Eukaryota; Metazoa; Chordata; Mammalia; Primates; Hominidae. The transcript has 3 exons.
UCCCUUGUGGACGGAGCCUCAGAAGUCUCUAUGAUCCCUGCCUUCCACCCUGGGCUCCCCGGAACCCCAUCAAAACCCCUACUCUGCAGGCCACAUGUGUAACGACACCUGAUAAGGAUCCAGACUGAUUGUGUCCACUCAGUGGGGUUUCUGUUCUCUCCCUAGCCUUCCAAGAGGCCGUGGUUGUCACCAGGGCGCCCCCACCCCUACCCCUGAAUCCCAGCUGCAGGGACUGCCAUUCAAACAUCCACGUGUCCAAGAUGGCUGCGGCAUUGGCAUGAGGACAAACCAACCUACCCCACAAGGGACAACAGUCAUGUUGGAUUAAGGCCCCACCCUACUCCAGGAUGACCUCAUCUGAACUCAUUAUAUCUGCAACAACCCAGUUCCAAAUAAGAAAACUGGAGAACCCCUGCCUUUCCCCUAAGAAAUGCAAAAUAGACUUCAGGCUGGUCCCAGGCUGUUUGCAGAAAACCAGACAUUGGAGGUCUCUUCCAAGAAGUUCAAAAGGGGUUCUGGUUAGUGUGUCCCUUCUCUGUUUGUGUUUUGCUGGUUUCUUGCCCCACCCAGUACUUUAUUCGCUCCCUCUUUUCUUCUUUUCCUUCCCACAAAAGAAAAACUCAU